UACGUAGGCAGCGAGCGUUGUUCGGAAUUACUGGGCGUAAAGAGUGUGUAGGUGGUGCUCUAAGUUUGGUGUGAAAUCUCCCGGCUCAACCGGGAGGGUGCAUCGAAAACUGGAAUGCUCGAGGAUGGGAGAGGUAAGCGGAAUUCCUGGUGUAGCGGUGAAAUGCGUAGAUAUCAGGAGGAACACCUGUGGUGUAGACAGCUUACUGGACCAUUUCUGACACUGAGACACGAGGGCGUGGGUAGCAAACAGG
RNAcentral lists this ribosomal RNA (253 nucleotides) under uncultured bacterium. RNAcentral describes it as "partial 16S ribosomal RNA". It matches the Rfam family "Bacterial small subunit ribosomal RNA", at positions 524 to 776 of the family's 1533-position model. The record is from RNAcentral.